CUAUUAAUACCCCCAAAAACACCGAUUGAUAAACAACAAACCAUUUUUCCUCCCAAGUACGGGCGACAGAAAAGGACACCUACAUGAGCCAUAAAAAAGUACCGCAAGGGAACGCUGAAAAAGAAAUGAAACAAACCAGUAAAGUUUUAAAAAGCAGAGACUUAUACUCGUACCUUUUGCAUCAUGACUUAGCAAGUAAAAACCAAGCAAAGGGCACUUUAGUUUGACUCCCCGAAACUAAGUGAGCUACUCCAAGACAGCCUAAAAGCAGGGCUAACCCGUCUCUGUGGCAAAAGAGUGGGAUGAUCUUAGAGUAGAGGUGACAAACCUAUCGAACUUAGUAAUAGCUGGUUGCCUAAGAAAUGAAUAGGAGUUCAGCUUUUUGAUUUUUCUUCUCAAAUUUAUUUUACUUAUAACUGACCCAGAAAACACCAAAAAAGUUAAUUAAAGGGGGUACAGCCCCUUUAAAACAAGAUACGACUUCAUCAGCCGGGUAAGGAUCAUAAUUAUUAAGGCAAAAAUGUUUUAGUGGGCCUGAAAGCAGCCACCUACAAGAAAGCGUUAAAGCUCAUUCAUACUUUCGCCAUCAAUUUAGAUAACAAAUCCCAACCCGCUAAUUUUAUUAGGCCGCCCCAUGUAUACAUGGGGGUGAUUCUGCUAAUAUGAGUAAUAAGAAAAAUCCAGUUUUUCUCCUUGCACACGUGUAAAUCGAAACGGACCCCCCACCGAAUUUUAAUCGGCCCCAAAAGAGGGUAAUGAGCCACUAACUUUGGUAACAAGAAAAAUACCCAAAGAUUAACCGUUAGCCCCACACUGGUGUGCCUACAAGGAAAGACUAAAAGAAAAAGAAGGAACUCGGCAAAUACAAGCCUCGCCUGUUUACCAAAAACACCGCCUCUUGUAUACAAAAAAUAAGAGGUCA
This 922-nucleotide ribosomal RNA is filed under the name Betta brownorum. Its description in RNAcentral is "partial 16S ribosomal RNA". The stretch from base 152 to 922 matches the Rfam family "Bacterial large subunit ribosomal RNA", at positions 568 to 1847 of the family's 2925-position model. The record is from RNAcentral. Lineage: Eukaryota; Metazoa; Chordata; Actinopteri; Anabantiformes; Osphronemidae.